CCCUUAGAUGUCCUGGGCUGCACGCGCGCUACACUGGAAGUUACGGAUUGAGAUACUACCUUGUCCGAAAUGGUCCGGGUAAUCACCUAAAAGCUUGUCAUAAUUGGAAUGGAUUAUUGUAACCAGUAAUCCUGAACGAGGAAUUCCUAGUAAGUCCCAGUCAACAGCUGGUACUGAUUACGUCCCUGCCCUUUGUACACACCGCCCGUCGCUACUACUGAUUGGACGUUUAAGCAAGAUUUUUAAACACUGACAGUGUGUAGUUCACGCUAUACUACAGUGAGAAGAAGAAGAUCGAGCUUACUUGUCUAGAGGAAGUAAAAGUCGUAACA
Molecule: ribosomal RNA, 332 nt
Filed under: uncultured eukaryote
Lineage: Eukaryota
Description: partial 18S ribosomal RNA
Rfam family: Eukaryotic small subunit ribosomal RNA
Source: RNAcentral